AUUGAACGCUGGCGGCAUGGCUAAAACAUGCAAGUCCGGGAUAACCCUUCGGGGUGAAACCGGCGAAAGGGCGAGGAAUACAUUCGAACGUGCCCUAAGGUGGAGGAUAGCCGUGGGAAACUGCGGGUAAUACUCCAUGUGCUCUACGGAGGAAAGCUUCGGCGCCUCGGGAGCGGCGAAUGUCCUAUCAGGUAGUUGGCGGGGUAACGGCCCACCAAGCCGAAGACGGGUAGCGGGUGUGAGAGCACGGCCCGCCGCAUCGGGACUGAGACACUGCCCGGACUCCUACGGGAGGCUGCAGUAACGAAUAUUCCGCAAUGGGCGAAAGCCUGACGGAGCAAUGCCGCGUGCAGGAUGAAGCGGUUCGCCGUGUAAACUGCUGUCAGGGAACAGAAACACU
Molecule: ribosomal RNA, 400 nt
Filed under: uncultured bacterium
Lineage: Bacteria
Description: bacterial SSU rRNA
Rfam family: Bacterial small subunit ribosomal RNA
Source: RNAcentral